Molecule: ribosomal RNA, 1296 nt
Filed under: Enoplochiton echinatus
Lineage: Eukaryota; Metazoa; Mollusca; Polyplacophora; Chitonida; Chitonidae
Description: 16S ribosomal RNA
Rfam family: Bacterial large subunit ribosomal RNA (bases 850-1296)
Source: RNAcentral
GGUGUUCGUUAAAGUUUGUUUUUAGUUUUAAAAUUUUGUGUUAAAGGAAUUUUUAUUUAGUAUUGUUAAAGAAGUUUAGGGGUAAAAGGUAGUACCGCAAGGGAAAAGUUGAAUGUUGAAGAUAGUAUAGGUUAAAUCUAGUACCUUUUGCAUUAUGGUUUAACGAGAAAAAAGCCUUUUUUAAGGUUUUCUAGAAAGAAAAAGAGUUAUUUCUGAGCUAAAAUAGUGUGGCAUAACUAUUUUUAGACUUGGUUAUGGUAGUGAAACGCUUACGAAUUUUCUGAUAGCUAGUUAAGAGAGAAAGAUAUUUAAGUAUAAUUUGUAAAAGAUGAUAGCUAUAUUCUUUGUAUGGUGUUUUUAAUUACAGUUGCCGGUUCUCUAGGAUAAGCUAGAGAAAUGAGAAAAUUUUUUCUUUUUUGUAAGUUUAUGUAGGUUUAAUAGUUUCUAUCAUUUUUAUGGUUUUAUAACAUAAUUAGUUAAAAAUUAUAUAGUGUUAAUUUUCUAAUUUAUCUCUUUUUAUCUAAGAAUUAUGUUUUGAGGUAGAGUUUAUGUUAAAAUUAGUAUUUAUUAAGUUUAAGAGCUUAAGAUUAUUAUAUGUUAAGCUAUAGAAAUUUAUAUAAAAUAUAAAUGAAAAAUAGGAACUCGGCAAAUUUGAAUUUCGCCUGUUUAUCAAAAACAUCGCUCUUUGUCUUUUAAAAAUAAGGAGUCGUGCCUGCCCGGUGAGUAUUUAAACGGCCGCAGUACCCUGACUGUGCAAAGGUAGCAUAAUCAUUUGCCUUUUAAUUGGAGGCUGGAAUGAAUGGCUUGACGAAGUUCUACUGUCUUUUUUUUAUUAUAUAGAAUUUAAUUUUUAGGUGCAGAAGCCUGAAUAUCAUUGAAAGACGAAAAGACCCUGUCGAACUUUAAAAUAAAGCUAUAAUCGUUGUGUUUUUAGAAUAAGUGUUUUUUAGUUCAUUUUUUUGUUGGGGUGACAAAAGAACAAAUAAAGCUUCUUUGAUUUUGUUAAACUUAUUAGUUAUGAGGAUCCAUAGUGUUUAUGAGAGUAAGACUAAGUUACCGCAGGGAUAACAGCGUUAUUUUUCUGGAGAGUUCGAAUUGAAGGAAAAGAUUGCGACCUCGAUGUUGGAUUAGAAUACCUGGUAGGUGUAGCAGCUUAUUUUAGGGGGUCUGUUCGACCUUUAAUUUUCUACAUGAUCUGAGUUCAAACCGGUGUGAGCCAGGUUGGUUUCUAUCUUUAGUGAAUAAUUAAGUUAAUUUUAGUACGAAAGGACCAAAUUGACAAAACUUUUUUGUAAU